CCAAGAUGAAUUUGUGCCACAACUCAUGGCAGCAGCUGUUGGGGUUCUGCACCCCCAGCAGCNGUUGCUGUUUAGAAGGCCAAUCCCAUGUCAGGAAUCAUUAAGAAAAGAAUGAAAAUAUUAUUAUAACNGGAGGUUUAAGAAUACAAAGUAAACUCUAGUUGCUGUACCUCAAAGCAGAUGUCCCAAAGUUAUAAAACAGAGAUGGGCAACAAAAACAAUCCAUGCACUACAACAGGCUACCUAAGAUUACAACCCUGGGCCUAGGGACCAGUUUUUACGUGGUGGGGGUAAUUAAGGGAGGGACCCACCCGACAGAGGCGGGUGUGAGGAGGGCAGGGCAUUUCCCCCCUCCCCAGCACCUUGGGGAGGGCUUGUGGGCUCCUUCCUAGCCCUGGUGGUGGUACCUUGUGGUGGGGCUGCCCAGAACCUGGAGGGCAACUGACGGGGGGCAGGCGCUCUUGCUCUGUCCUGACGGUUCUGGUGCAGGUACGGGGGGGGGGCAGAGGGGGGGAGGCUGCCACAAACUAGCCCCGCCGUGGUUCUUCCACAGCUAAGGUUCAUGACUUUUGGGGGGGGCAGGGGUGUUGACGGCCAGCAACCAGACAGAUGCCCACCGCCCCCACUAGGGCCUUCAGAUCCGCCUGGCUGGCCCCAAGGCCCACUCCCCGGCCGGCAGCGGACGCAAUGGUUGCAUGCCGCAGAGGGGCUCCUGAAGGGGCAUCCAUCCACGGCGCCCCCUCCCUCCCGCUGNUCUUCGCUGCCACCUGCUGCAAAGACCUCCGUCGCAAGGAGCCAAAACGAAAGUCGAGCAAGCCACGUCAGGGAGAACGGACGAGGGCGAAGAGGAGGCUCCCCUCAUCCGGCAGCAAGAAGACAAAGCGCCCCCGCCCCCGCUCCGUCCCGGCUCUCCUCCUGCUGCUCCUGCUCNCCCCGGGCGAGCGGCCGCGCGGGUCAAAGGGCGGCGGAGAUGGAUGGGCCUGUCCGGGAGGACAGGUUCCAACAAUUCAAAUGCAUAGCAAUAGCAACUGAAAGCAGUUAAAACAGUACGGUGUCUAGAGGCGGAGGAGAAAUUUAUCACCUUGGCUGGGACUGAGGCAACCUAGAGUUCAAAAUGGCUGUGCCAGCCACUGCUGAUGACAGCUGGAAUCCCAAACAUCUGGUAGACCACAGGUGGGUGAAGGCUAGCUCAGCCCUCCUCUCUCAGUGUUUUCCAGCUGCCUGUCUUCC
Long non-coding RNA from Salvator merianae (Argentine black and white tegu), 1230 nucleotides. Lineage: Eukaryota; Metazoa; Chordata; Lepidosauria; Squamata; Teiidae. The record is from Ensembl.